UGUAAAGACCUCGUACAAAGCAUUGGAGAAGCUAGCACAUUUCUUUGUGAACAAGACAUGCUUGUGUCUUAUGAGUCUAAGGGGCAUCUAAGACUCACAAAGCAUGAUACUCGCGUGGUGGCUAAAUACCUACAACUCAUAAAAGGUAUUACCAAUGAACUUCCUCUUGCUAAUAUUCUAAUUAAUAAGGAUGAUUUGAUUCCACAUACUCUCGGUGGUCUAGGACUGAAAUUCAAGGA
This 239-nucleotide long non-coding RNA is filed under the name Elaeis guineensis (African oil palm). Its description in RNAcentral is "long non-coding RNA (EGUI_LNC045869)". The record is from RNAcentral. Lineage: Eukaryota; Viridiplantae; Streptophyta; Magnoliopsida; Arecales; Arecaceae.